Long non-coding RNA from Chelonia mydas (Green sea turtle), 168 nucleotides. RefSeq lists it as uncharacterized. The transcript is spliced from 3 exons. The record is from RefSeq and is a predicted model, not a curated record. NCBI's taxonomy places the organism in Eukaryota, Metazoa, Chordata, Testudines, Cheloniidae.
UUGGAGCAGAGGGCAGUUUGAAGGAGUUGGAGCACACUGCAGUUUGGAGGAGCUGAAGUAGAGGAGAGUUUGGAGAAGUGCUGUGGCUGGCUAGAAGACCAAGACCCUAGGUAAAGAGACACCGGGCUUGUGGAGAGAGGGAGGGGGAGGAAGCCCCACAAGCUGAAG